GGGCAAGCAAUAGCUGAGCUUACUAGCCAUAUGGUUAAACUAGCGCAUGUGCCUACUCAGGUAUGGAAAGGGUACAAUCCAAGUAGUUGGUUUGGUAGCUGGUAUGAGUGGUUUGGAGGGCUUAAGGCAGUGGUAGGUGGAGUCCUACUGAUUUUAAUGUUGUGUCUACUCCUGCUGUGUCUUAUACCCUUAGUAGUUAGGUCUGUGCAAAGCCUGAUAGAAAAUAUAGCAGAGAGGAAGGCUGCUGCACAGAUAAUGGCAAUUUAUAAAUAUAAGGCUCUAGAUCAGGGAGAACCAAUG
Molecule: long non-coding RNA, 300 nt
Filed under: Pelobates cultripes (western spadefoot toad)
Lineage: Eukaryota; Metazoa; Chordata; Amphibia; Anura; Pelobatidae
Source: RNAcentral